RNAcentral lists this ribosomal RNA (463 nucleotides) under Streptococcus sp. oral taxon 070. Its description in RNAcentral is "bacterial SSU rRNA". It matches the Rfam family "Bacterial small subunit ribosomal RNA", at positions 28 to 475 of the family's 1533-position model. The record is from RNAcentral. Lineage: Bacteria; Bacillati; Bacillota; Bacilli; Lactobacillales; Streptococcaceae.
GACGAACGCUGGCGGCGUGCCUAAUACAUGCAAGUAGAACGCUGAAGCUUGGUGCUUGCACCGAGCGGAUGAGUUGCGAACGGGUGAGUAACGCGUAGGUAACCUGCCUGGUAGCGGGGGAUAACUAUUGGAAACGAUAGCUAAUACCGCAUAAAAUGGAUUAUCGCAUGAUAAUCCAUUGAAAGGUGCAAAUGCAUCACUACCAGAUGGACCUGCGUUGUAUUAGCUAGUUGGUGGGGUAACGGCUCACCAAGGCGACGAUACAUAGCCGACCUGAGAGGGUGAUCGGCCACACUGGGACUGAGACACGGCCCAGACUCCUACGGGAGGCAGCAGUAGGGAAUCUUCGGCAAUGGACGGAAGUCUGACCGAGCAACGCCGCGUGAGUGAAGAAGGUUUUCGGAUCGUAAAGCUCUGUUGUAAGAGAAGAACGAGUGUGAGAGGGAAAGUUCACACUGGACGG